CAAUAGCGUAUAUUAAAGUUGUUGCGGUUAAAAAGCUCGUAGUUGGAUUUCUGCCGAGGACGACCGGUCCGCCCUCUGGGUGAGUAUCUGGCUCGGCCUGGGCAUCUUCUUGGAGAACGUAGCUGCACUUGACUGUGUGGUGCGGUAUCCAGGACUUUUACUUUGAGGAAAUUAGAGUGUUUCAAGCAGGCUUACGCCUUGAAUACAUUAGCAUGGAAUAAUAAGAUAGGACCUCGGUUCUAUUUUGUUGGUUUCUAGAGCUGAGGUAAUGAUUAAUAGGGAUAGUUGGGGGCAUUCGUAUUUAACUGUCAGAGGUGAAAUUCUUGGAUUUGUUAAAGACGGACUACUUCGAAAGCAUUUGCCAAGGAUGUUUUCAUUGA
RNAcentral lists this ribosomal RNA (380 nucleotides) under uncultured eukaryote. RNAcentral describes it as "partial 18S ribosomal RNA". It matches the Rfam family "Eukaryotic small subunit ribosomal RNA", at positions 592 to 976 of the family's 1831-position model. The record is from RNAcentral.